AUCACUAAGCGGAGGAAAAGAAACUAACAAGGAUUCCCUCAGUAACGGCGAGUGAAGCGGGAAGAGCCCAGCACCGAAUCCCUCGCCUCGACGGCGACGGGAACUGUGGUGUUAGGGAGCGCCGAUGGGUCGAGCGGCGGGCGUCCGAGUCCUCCUGAUCGGGGCUUCGCCCGCAGCGGGUGUCAGGCCUCUACGGCCCCUGCCGCCGGCCCUCCGAGCCUCCUAGGAGUCGGGUUGUUUGGGAAUGCAGCCCUAAGCGGGUGGUAAACUCCAUCUAAGGCUAAAUACUGGCACGAGUCCGAUAGCGGACAAGUACCGUGAGGGAAAGUU
Molecule: ribosomal RNA, 330 nt
Filed under: Spiophanes sp. A VVP-2020
Lineage: Eukaryota; Metazoa; Annelida; Polychaeta; Spionida; Spionidae
Description: partial large subunit ribosomal RNA
Rfam family: Eukaryotic large subunit ribosomal RNA
Source: RNAcentral